UACGUAGGUGGCGAGUGUUAUUCGGAUUUACUGGGCGUAAAGGGUUCGUAGGGGGCUUGCCAAGUCCGGUGUGAAAGCCUGUGGCUCAACCACAGAACGGCACUGGAAACUGGCGAGCUAGAGGACCGGAGAGGAGAGUGGAAUACCUGGUGUAGCGGUGGAAUGCGUAGAUAUCAGGUGGAACACCGAUGGCGAAGGCAGCUCUCUGGACGGUACCUGACCCUGAGGAACGAAAGUUGGGGUAGCAAACAGG
RNAcentral lists this ribosomal RNA (253 nucleotides) under uncultured bacterium. RNAcentral's name for it is "partial 16S ribosomal RNA". It matches the Rfam family "Bacterial small subunit ribosomal RNA", at positions 524 to 776 of the family's 1533-position model. The record is from RNAcentral.